GGAUUAGAUACCCUGGUAGUCCGCACCGUAAACGAUGGACACUUGGUGUUGGAGGUAUUGACCCCUUCAGUGCCGAAGCUAACGCGUUAAGUGUCCCGCCUGGGAAGUACGGUCGCAAGAUUAAAACUCAAAGAAAUUGACGGGGGCCCGCACAAGCGGUGGAGCAUGUGGUUUAAUUCGAUGCAACGCGAAAAACCUUACCUGGGCUCGAAAUGUUAUGGAAUAAGGUAGAGAUAUCUUAGUUCUUCGGAACUGUAAUAUAGGUGCUGCAUGGCUGUCGUCAGCUCGUGCCG
This 293-nucleotide ribosomal RNA is filed under the name uncultured bacterium. RNAcentral describes it as "partial 16S ribosomal RNA". It matches the Rfam family "Bacterial small subunit ribosomal RNA", at positions 775 to 1067 of the family's 1533-position model. The record is from RNAcentral.